This 74-nucleotide transfer RNA is filed under the name Nocardia speluncae. It matches the Rfam family "tRNA". Rfam says of the family: Transfer RNA (tRNA) molecules are approximately 80 nucleotides in length. Their secondary structure includes four short double-helical elements and three loops (D, anti-codon, and T loops). Lineage: Bacteria; Bacillati; Actinomycetota; Actinomycetes; Mycobacteriales; Nocardiaceae. The record is from Rfam by way of RNAcentral.
CGCGGUGUAGCGCAGUCAGGCAGCGCGGCGGGCUCAUAACCCGCAGGCCGUGGGUUCGAAUCCCAUCACCGCAA